AGAGUUUGAUCCUGGCUCANAUUGAACGCUGGCGGCAUGCCUUACACAUGCAAGUCGAACGGCAGCACGGGGGCAACCCUGGUGGCGAGUGGCGAACGGGUGAGUAAUGCAUCGGAACGUGUCCUCUUGUGGGGGAUAACCAGUCGAAAGACUGGCUAAUACCGCAUGAGAUCGAAAGAUGAAAGCGGGGGACCGCAAGGCCUCGCGCGAGAGGAGCGGCCGAUGCCGGAUUAGCUAGUUGGUGGGGUAAAAGCCUACCAAGGCGACGAUCCGUAGCUGGUCUGAGAGGACGACCAGCCACACUGGGACUGAGACACGGCCCAGACUCCUACGGGAGGCAGCAGUGGGGAAUUUUGGACAAUGGGCGCAAGCCUGAUCCAGCCAUGCCGCGUGUGUGAAGAAGGCCUUCGGGUUGUAAAGCACUUUCGGACGGAACGAAAUCGCGCGGUUGAACAUUCCGCGUGGAUGACGGUACCGUAAGAAGAAGCACCGGCUAACUACGUGCCAGCAGCCGCGGUAAUAC
Molecule: ribosomal RNA, 523 nt
Filed under: uncultured soil bacterium
Lineage: Bacteria
Description: bacterial SSU rRNA
Rfam family: Bacterial small subunit ribosomal RNA
Source: RNAcentral